UGGGUAAAGGUUUAAAAAAUAAUGGUAACCUUGGGGGGUGGGGGGAAAUAAUAAUAAAUUUUUCUUUGGUAUUUUUAAUGGACAAAUGAUUUGAAACAGAUUUUUGUUUUUUCAAAACUGACACAUAUUAUGAGUCUGAUGGAUUAAUUAAUUCUUUUUCACGAAAGGUCGUGUUACUUAAAACCAUAUGAACUAUCAUUAAAAUUGAUAUAAUAAUAAACUUUCAUCAGUCAAACAAUUGAAACAUUCACAUUUAUAACUACAUGUAAAUGGAAUAACAACUAAUCAAUAAAAUACAAUUACAAAUACUUUUAUUAAAACCAUUUAAAAUGUUUCAAUGAAACAUAGGUGGUUUCGUGGUGUAGUUGGUUAUCACGUCAGUCUAACACACUGAAGGUCCCCAGUUCGAGCCUGGGCGAAGCCAAAUGGUGUUAACUCUAAUUUAAAUUUUAAUGCUUACCACUAUAUUUUUGUAAAUUUUACAAUGCAUCAACAUUAAUUUCAAAAGUUAAUUUACAAUUUUGUGAAUCAACUAAAUAAAAUUUAUUUUCUUCAAUGAGCCAAAGAGACAUGUCGUAAGAGAGAAUAUAGCUACAUUACAUAUUAUUUAAAAAUGACUAGGAUGAAGAACGAAGUUGAUUAAGCACUUUGAAGACUAUAGACACAUUGCGAUCAAAACCGUACCAGACAGGCCGCUAUGACUAGUUGAAGAGAAAACGGAACAGUGUCAUGUCCAAUUAAACAUAAUAACCUAUAAAACAAAACCAUAAAAAUCGAUUGCGAACCGCUGAAAUCGAAAAAAAUCAGCGUUUCAGAAGGUUCAUAGUCUGGGAUAUAGAAUAAAUCAUCUUUUCAAGUCUUAUAGAGAGACUGACUCGUCUUUUUAUCUUGAUGAGUGUGGAAGUAAAGGAUAAAAUACUUUAACUGGGUGAUUGCCAAAUGUGGGAGGCAAGAAAAAGAAUAGAAGUUGUUGAAAAGAGAAUAAGUUACCAAACAAUACAAAUCUAUGUUAUCUUUGGUGGAGGCCGAGUAAAUGGAGUAUAGAAUAUUGUUUUCAAUUUAUUAUAGUUGAAGUGGAAUUUAAUGGAUAGUCCCAUACUACCUUUUUUUUAUGUUCACAUUAAAAAAAAUCGUUAUUUAUUUGUGUUAUGAUUAUGUAGUAGUUUAAAGUGUCAUAAAAUUCUUUUUCCAAACUAAAACUUCGUAUUGUGAAUUAAGAGAUUAUGACUAAGUCCUAUGAAUAAUCUUUUUAUUAAAACCAAUUUAAGAUCAAAUACCAAAUUUAUUCCUUGUGUUUAUUUACAAAUUCAAUAUUCACUCGUGUAGUACUACCAUAUUUGUUUAAAAUAUGGAAAUUUUAUUUCUUUGGUAAUAAAACAAAUAAAUAUAUCAUAUAUUAAAUUAAAAUUGUCAAAUGAAUUGUUUACGAUUCGACAUUGGCUCGACUCUAGCCCAAACUUAAAAACCUUACACUCUUAUCUACACCAAUUUAUUGUUUGGUUCAGUUUUAACUAUCGUUAUAUAUACAAUGAAUUAGGUAGCAAAAUCCAAAAGUUUUGAACCCAUAAUUAGUUCUCAUACCAUAAUUGACUCUCACAACACUCUUAUUUAAAUAUGUGAUUAAAUUCACUGUUAACUACUUUACUUAACUAGAAUUCAUUUAAAUUUUCAACAUUAUCUAUUACUUAUUUUCUGAACAUAACCCCUAAUAGUAGUCAGAGGAAUGAAUAUGUGGGUAAAGGUUUAAAAAAUAAAGAUAACUUUGGGGUGAAAAUAAUAAUAAAUUUUUCUUUGGUAUUUUUAAUGGACAAAUGAUUUGAAACAGAUUUUUGUUUUUUCAAAACUGACACAUAUUAUGAGUCUGAUGUAUUAAUUAAUUCUCUUUCACGAAAGGUCUAAUUUCUUUUCAGAAGUAGUGUUAUAUAAAACAUAUGUACUUCAUUAAAUUGUAUCAUAUAACUGUUCAGUCAGUAAAAUAAUUACAUAACAUUUAUAAUACAGGUCAAUUAAAUCACACUAAAAUCUCAUUACAAUUAAUUUGUAGUAAAACACUUCAAAUGUUCACUCAAUUGUGGUAGUGAUGUAGCUUGGCUGUGUUAUCAGGAUCGUUAACCUGAAGGUCCAGUCGAGCAUUGGAGGAGCCAAUCUGGUCUUAACUUUUAAUUUAUGUUACCCUUAUUUUUCUGAAUUUGUAAUGAUCACACAUCAUCUACAAAGGUUAAUUAUUUAUGUGACUCAAUAAAUACCUCGUUAUUUUUUAUAGAAAGAUGUAAAAUAUAGCUUUAAUAUACUCUCUAAUAAGACUGUGUAAGACGAGUGAGUUAAAGCACUGAAAAUAGAUUGGUCAACGUACAGACGGCUAAUGACUAGUGAGGAUGAAACGGACCUGAAAAUGUAUGUCAAGUAAAUAUUAUAGAAAGCAAACCUAAUCGAUUUGCGACGCUGAAAUCGAAAUCAGGUUUUUAGGAGCGUUUAUUAGUCUGACAUGGGAUUGAUAUAUCUUUUCACGCUUAUGGCAGAGAUUGAUCGUUAUUGAUGCAGUUGUGGCAUAAAGUGAUAAACUUUACUGCUGUGAUGCAAUGGGAUGAAGAAAAGGAAUGAAGUUUGUGAAAGAGACUCUUAAAAAAUAAAUCUGUGUUAUUCUUGUAGUCGAGGUCUGGGGUAAUCUGGAGAUGGUCUGUUUCAAUUAUUAGUUUGAAGGUUGAUAUGGUACCAAUUCUAACUUUGUUUGUUAAUUAAUAAUCAUUAUUUAUUUGUGUAUAUGAUAUGUACAGUAGUUUUAGUGCUGAUAAUUUCUGUUUGUUUCAAUAUAAAAGUGUAUUGGUGAUUAAAGGAAUUUGAUAGUCCCUCCGCAUAGAAUACACAUUUUUAUUAAACAAUUAUGAUCCAUACCAUUCUUCCCUGUGUGUNNNNNNNNNNNNNNNNNNNNNNNNNCAUGCGUAAAAUCAUUAUUUAUUUUGUUAUGAUUGUACAGUAGUUUUAAGUGUGGAUAAUAAUUCUGUUUUUUCAAUAUAAAAGAUGUAUGGUGAUAAAGAGAUUAUGACUAGGUCCUCGAUGAAUAACUUUUUAUUUAAGAAGCCAUUUAAGAUCAAUACAAAGUUUUUCCCUUGUGUUUAUUUACAAAUGCAAGUAUUCACUCGUGUAGUACUACCAUAUUUGUAUAAAAUAUGGAAAUUUUAUUUCUUUGGUAAUAAAACAAAUAAAUAUAUCUUAUAUUAAAUUAAACUUUUCAAAUGAAUUGUUUCCGAUUCGACAUUGACUCGACUCUAGCCUAAACUUAAAACCUUGCACUCUUAUCUACACCAAUUUAUCGUUUGGUUCAGUUUUAACUAUUGUUAUAUAUACAAUGAAUUAGGUAGCAAAAUCCAAAAGUUUUCAACCCAUAAUUAGUUCUCAUACCAUAAUUGACUCUCACAACACUCUUAUUUAAAUAUGUGAUUAAAUUCACUGUUAACUACUUUACUUAACUAGAAUUAAUUUAAAUUCUCAACAUUAUCUAUUACUUAUUUUCUGAACAUACACUACGCCAAAAAGGACUAUUAACAGCGCAUCUUAGACAGCGCUUUUAAAAGAAAGCGCUGUCUAAGGUUAAAAUAAAAAUGAAGCGCUGAAAAUGUUCCAAGAAAAUAAUGAAAGCGCUGUGUUAACUCUAAUUUAAAUUUUAAUGCUUACCACUAUAUUUUUGUAAAUUUUACAAUGCAUCAACAUUAAUUUCAAAAGUUAAUUUACAAUUUUGUGAAUCAACUAAAUAAAAUUUAUUUUCUUCAAUUAGCCAAAGAGACAUGUCGUAAGAGAGAAUAUAGCUACAUUACAUAUUAUUUAAAAAGGACUACGAUGAAGAACGAAGUUGAUUAAGCACUUUGAAGACAAUAGACACAUUGCGAUCAAAACCGUACCAGACAGGCCGCUAUGACUAGUUGAAGAGAAAACGGAACGGUGUCAUGUCCAAGUAAACAUAAUAACCUAGAAAACAAAACCAUAAAAAUCGAUUGCGAACCGCUGAAAUCGAAAAAAAUCAGCGUUUUAGGAGGUUCAUAGUCUGGGAUAUAGAAUAAAUCAUCUUUUCAAGUCUUAUGGAGAGACUGACUCGUCUUUUUAUCUUGAUGAGUGUGGAAAUAAAGGAUAAAAUACUUUAACUGGGUGAUUGCCAAAUGUGGGAGGCAAGAAAAAGAAUAGAAGUUGUUGAAAAGAGAAUAAGUUACCAAACAAUACACAUCUAUGUUAUCUUUGUAGGAGGCCGAGUAAAUGGAGAAUAGAAUAUUGUUUUCAAUUUAUUAUAGUUGAAGUGGAAUUUAAUGGAUAGUCCCAUACUACCUUUUUUUUAUGUUCACAUUAAAAAAAAUCGUUAUUUAUUUGUGUUAUGAUUAUGUAGUAGUUUAAAGUGUCAUAAAAUUCUUUUUCCAAACUAAAACUUCGUAUUGUGAAUUAAGAGAUUAUGACUAAGUCCUAUGAAUAAUCUUUCUAUUAAAAACAAUUUAAGAUCAAAUACCAAAUUUAUUCCUUGUGUUUAUUUACAAAUUCAAUACUCACUCGUGUAGUACUACCAUAUUUGUAUAAAAUAUGGAAAUUUUAUUUCUUUGGUAAUAAAACAAAUAAAUAUAUCUUAUAUUAAAUUAAAAUUGUCAAAUGAAUUGUUUCCGAUUCGACAUUGGCUCGACUCUAGCCAAAACUUAAAACCUUACACUCUUAUCUACACCAAUUUAUUGUUUGGUUCAGUUUUAACUAUUGUUAUAUAUACAAUGAAUUAGGUAGCAAAAUCCAAAAGUGUUCAACCCAUAAUUAGGUCUCAUACCAUAAUUGACUCUCACAACACUCCUAUUUAAAUAUGUGAUUAAAUUCACUGUUAACUACUUUACUUAACUAGAAUUCAUUUAAAUUCUCAACAUUAUCUAUUACUUAUUUUCUGAACAUAACCCCUAAUUCUUAUUUUCUUUCUUUUCUGAAAUCUAUUUUAUAUAAAUAUACUACUCCAUCAUUCUAAUUUAAAAUUGUCUUUAAUGAUAUUGACACAUUUCUUAUAUUAAUAGUUAGUUUUGUUGAUUUCCAAUAUAAAAUCAAUAUUAUUUAAUAAUAUAUUUUUAAUAAUAGUAGUCAGAGGAAUGCAUAUGUGGGUAAAGGUUUAAAAAAUAAUGGUAACCUUGGGGGGUGGGGGGAAAUAAUAAUAAAUUUUUCUUUGGUAUUUUUAAUGGACAAAUGAUUUGAAACAGAUUUUUGUUUUUUCAAAACUGACACAUAUUAUGAGUCUGAUGGAUUAAUUAAUUCUUUUUCACGAAAGGUCGUGUUACUUAAAACCAUAUGAACUAUCAUUAAAAUUGAUAUAAUAAUAAACUUUCAUCAGUCAAACAAUUGAAACAUUCACAUUUAUAACUACAUGUAAAUGGAAUAACAACUAAUCAAUAAAAUACAAUUACAAAUACUUUUAUUAAAACCAUUUAAAAUGUUUCAAUGAAACAUAGGUGGUUUCGUGGUGUAGUU
RNAcentral lists this long non-coding RNA (5475 nucleotides) under Lathyrus oleraceus (garden pea). Its description in RNAcentral is "Pisum sativum (pea) long non-coding RNA (PSAT_LNC008705)". The stretch from base 351 to 424 matches the Rfam family "tRNA". Lineage: Eukaryota; Viridiplantae; Streptophyta; Magnoliopsida; Fabales; Fabaceae. The record is from RNAcentral.